This 360-nucleotide unclassified non-coding RNA is filed under the name fungal sp. RNAcentral's name for it is "partial internal transcribed spacer region". The stretch from base 1 to 46 matches the Rfam family "Eukaryotic small subunit ribosomal RNA", at positions 1786 to 1831 of the family's 1831-position model. Lineage: Eukaryota; Fungi. The record is from RNAcentral.
AAGUCGUAACAAGGUUUCCGUAGGUGAACCUGCGGAAGGAUCAUUAACACGUAUCCAACGUUAAACAACCCUGUGAACUUUAAGUCCCCUCUUGCAGCCCAUGAGGAACAGCAAUCCCGGUAAAUCAUUGCCAAACAGUUUUGAUUCGGGACCUCUGUCCAAAAGGAGUUGCAAUCGAAGGGUGGAAGCAGUGGCAUGGCUUCCCCAAGCAGUUAGUGAAUGACAGUGUCACUGACUGUGUAAGGAUAGUCACAGGGUCACCACGCCCCUUAAUCACUCCACUUGAAAAUGCCCCGCCUAGUGGUAACGCGCUAGGUAAAAAAAACCGAACAACUGUUAACAAUGGAUAUCUUGGUUCUC